UACGAAGGGGGCUAGCGUUGUUCGGAUUUACUGGGCGUAAAGCGCACGUAGGCGGAUCGUUAAGUCGGGGGUGAAAUCCUGGAGCUCAACUCCAGAACUGCCUUCGAUACUGGCGAUCUCGAGUCCGGAAGAGGUGAGUGGAACUCCUAGUGUAGAGGUGGAAUUCGUAGAUAUUAGGAAGAACACCGGUGGCGAAGGCGGCUACACUGGUCCGGUACUGACGCUAAGGCGCGAAAGCGUGGGGAGCGAACAGG
RNAcentral lists this ribosomal RNA (254 nucleotides) under uncultured bacterium. Its description in RNAcentral is "partial 16S ribosomal RNA". It matches the Rfam family "Bacterial small subunit ribosomal RNA", at positions 524 to 776 of the family's 1533-position model. The record is from RNAcentral.